UCGGUGCAGAUCUUGGUGGU
Molecule: non-coding RNA, 20 nt
Filed under: Arabidopsis thaliana (thale cress)
Lineage: Eukaryota; Viridiplantae; Streptophyta; Magnoliopsida; Brassicales; Brassicaceae
Source: RNAcentral